Molecule: ribosomal RNA, 498 nt
Filed under: uncultured bacterium
Lineage: Bacteria
Description: bacterial SSU rRNA
Rfam family: Bacterial small subunit ribosomal RNA
Source: RNAcentral
AACGAACGCUGGCGGCGCGCUUAACACAUGCAAGUCGAACGAGAAGGCGUAGCAAUACGCUUGUACAGUGGCGAACGGGUGAGUAAUACGUGGGCGACCUACCCUCGAGUGGGGAAUAACCCGCCGAAAGGCGGGCUAAUGCCGCGUACGCUUCCAUCUUUAUGGAGGUGGAAGGAAAGCCGUGCCGUGGGCACGGCGCUCAAGGAUGGGCUCACGUCCUAUCAGCUUGCNGGUAGGGUAACGGCCUACCAAGGCUCCGACGGGUAGCUGGUCUGAGAGGACGAUCAGCCACACUGGCACUGCGACACGGGCCAGACUCCUACGGGAGGCAGCAGUGAGGAAUAUUGCGCAAUGGGCGAAAGCCUGACGCAGCGACGCCGCGUGGGGGAUGAAGGUCUUUGGAUUGUAAACCCCUUUCGGGAGGGAAGAUGGGACGGGCGAACCGUUCGGACGGUACCUCCAGAAGCAGCCACGGCUAACUUCGUGCCAGCAGCCGCA